Molecule: long non-coding RNA, 1253 nt
Organism: Sphaerodactylus townsendi
Lineage: Eukaryota; Metazoa; Chordata; Lepidosauria; Squamata; Sphaerodactylidae
Exons: 3
Source: RefSeq, a predicted model, not a curated record
UCUUUUUUUUAAAUUUAAUCACUUUUAUUAAUAAAAUUAAAAUACAAUACAACGUUAAAUCACUUAGUUUUUACAUACAAAGAAAAUUACUAAAUAUAGUUGUACAUACAUUAUAGUCAAACGGCAUAUUACUUAAGGUCACUAAAUUAAAUCUCCCACUGGGGGGUAUAUAUUUUGCCGUUUGGUUAGUAAACUUCUCUUCCUUACUAUCGUAUUUUCUACCAAAGAUGUUUACGGAAAGUGUAUCCAUGAAAGUUUCACACAUAUAUAACAGUUCAUACUUAAUAUUGUGACAUUAAGUGUCAAGUUCGUCCGAUUUGGUUCUGUCUUUUUUGUAAAAAGAAUUGUUUUAGGGGUGUCCAUAUCUUUUCUCUCUUCUUUGUGUCUUCUUCCUGUAAAGAUAGUGCAAUACAGUCCAUAUCCAUAAAAAUAUAAAUUUUUUCUAGCCAUUCUUCUAGGGUUGGAAUCUUUUUUGAUUUCCAAUUGGCCGCAAUUAAUAACCUUGCUGCCGCUGUCAGGUAGGUAAUAAGUUUGGAGUGUGGUUGGAGUUCUUUUAUAUUGUAUAAUCCCAACAGAUAUAACCCUGGUUCCAUAUUGUAUUGAAUGUUUAGAAUUUUUUGCAUUUGAGUAUGUAUUUUACACCAAAAUCUCUUUAUCUUUUUACAGUACCACCAGGAAUGAAUGAAGGUACCUAUAUCUCUUUCACACUUCCAGCAGCAUACUGGGUUUCUGGUAUAUCUCUAGAUGGGAUUAUAUUAUUGAAUAAUUCACGGGACGCGAAGUCGGACCUUACCCUCGGCGGUCCCUUUCCUUCGUCUCUUGUUCUCUCCGCCCCGCCCUCGGAUCGUCCUGUGAAGCCUCUUUUCGGUAGGUUUUCAAAGUUAUAAAGUUUCUUUCCGUUUGUUUGGAAGAUGCCUUGCGUCUCUGACCUCGUUGCCUCUCUUGCAAAUGUUGAAUUUGAAUCAAGUAGAGUCUAACGUGUUUCUUCUGAAGGUCAGUAAGACGAAAGGUACAGUGGAGGGAUGGGUUUCUUCUUCUCCCUUGCUAUCUCCCAAUGAUGGCCGCGAUAGAAGCCGGUUCUUUCCCCCCUCACAGUUCGUUCAGGAGGUCUGUCGCAGCUCCCAUUCUACGGUCUUUUAUCACUGUUAAAGCCCCCCUUCAGAGGAAGGUAUAUUUCGUGGGCUAUUAACAGUAAAAGAAGAGAAUAGCAAGGAUUUACCGCGCCUGAGGCAAACGCGUGUUGUCCCGUUCGC